Molecule: non-coding RNA, 1257 nt
Organism: Camellia sinensis
Lineage: Eukaryota; Viridiplantae; Streptophyta; Magnoliopsida; Ericales; Theaceae
Source: RefSeq, a predicted model, not a curated record
UCCCUAAUCUUUUGAACCAACCCAUCUUUUCUUAUGACUCUCUCUCUCUCUCUCUCUCUCGCUCGCACGAUUGUGAGCAGUGGCAAACGGCGGCAGCGAGCGACGGCAGCGAUAGCGUGAGACGACAUCGAGUAGCGGCAGACGACAGCGUCGAGCAACCAUCACCACCUCCCAAUAAGUCCCAUACCUCUCUCUCCUAUUCUUUUUUUAUCUCGGAGCCCUGAUUUUAACCCUCUAGGUGUCACUCUCUCUUAAGAGAUCCUACACUUCCUGCCAUCGACUUAACCGCCGUCGUCUCCAUCAUCAUCUCCAACUUAAACAACCAAUUUGAUAACGCCCAACCCCCUGCUGCGACGACGAAACCCUAGAUGUGUUCGAGCUCGAUUACAAACUGGUAUGUAUGUAGUUCAUAAUCGCCCAAUGGAGGAGGAGAAGAAGAACAAAAAUGUGAUUCGAUUGGAGCGGGAGAUCGUAAUUCUAAUUCUGAAGCCGAAACUCAUCAUGACGUUGGCCAAUCUCAUUGAAAGCUGUUGAAAGAGAGGCUAUGGCAGUGAGAGAUAUGAGCAGCUUGAUGUUUCAAAAAAAAGUUGCCCCGUUCCUAUGAGCUGCUCCAUGACGCCUCAUGGAAGUCUCAAAAGAAACUGUAUGAGAAGCACCAUAAUACAGCAGAUGGCCGCAUUAGAAUAUGGCUUGGAAUAAGGCAAAUUAUGAAUUCUACUGAUCGUUUACUAACUGAAACGAGGGACACUGCAAAAGAACUGAAAACUGGAAUCCACAUAGUAAGAAAAUGCUCUCUUUCUCUCUCUUCAUAUGCAUAUAGAUCAAUGUUUUUUUAGAUUUUGAAUUCCAUAGCCUGGUACUAUACAUAUUAAAGCUUUCUUGGAAUAUAAAUAUACUCUUCAGUGCUAUGUUUAAAUGUCUGGCAGAACAGAAAGUGAAAAUUGGAUGUUACUAUCCACAAACAUCAACUUGGAUUUAAGUGAAAAUUUAUAUGUGGAUGGUUAGAUUGUAAGAUAUUUUUCUUUGAACUGAAACUAUCCUCCUUGCAAUAAUGAUGCCCACUGCAGGAAGUGUAUUCUUAACCUCCUACUUCUUCCACAAAAUCAUGCCUAAUGAAAAACCUAAAAUAGAAAGAGAUCAAUUGAACACUAGUGAAAUUUCAAUACUGGCUGAUCUAAUACUGGCUGUUCAUGUAGUUAGUUUUAGUUUUCAUCAUAAUUUUGGUCAUUGAAAACUGUUUGGAUCUGAUGGCCCAAA